Molecule: small nucleolar RNA, 70 nt
Organism: Solea solea (common sole)
Lineage: Eukaryota; Metazoa; Chordata; Actinopteri; Pleuronectiformes; Soleidae
Product: small nucleolar RNA SNORD58
Exons: 1
Source: RefSeq, a predicted model, not a curated record
UUGCGGUGAUGACCUUCUUAGGACACCUUUGGAUUAAAGAUGAAACAAAAAACAUUUUAAUCUGAGCAAC